UGCAGGUUUGGUGGUGUCUGUUGUGGAUCCAUAACCUGGAGAGACCAUUGUCGACUGUUGUGCUGCGCCUGGAGGAAAGACUCUAUUCAUGGCAUCACGUUUGAGAGGCCAAGGUAUGGUGUAUGCAAUUGACAUAAACAAAGGCCGCCUAAGAAUUCUUGAAGAGACAGCCAAGUCACACAAUGUCAAUGAUGUCAUCACUGUUGUGCAUGCUUACCUUUGUAUUUUUUCUGAAAAGAUAUCCAAGAAGUUUGAUAAAGUUUUGUUGGAUGCUCCUUGUUCUGGAUUGGGUGUCCUCUCCAAGGAAUUCCUUAAACAAGUUCAUAUUUCUCGAAAGAUAAUUAAAUUGGGAUUAUUUUGGAAUUUGGAAAAAAAUUAAAAUAGCCAAUAUUGGUUUGAAUCAUCAAACAGCUGCAAUCAUUGAUAGUAUUGACAUAUAAUAUUAUUUCUUUUUGGGUCAGUUAUUGUUCAUGUGCUUGCUUCUAAGAUGCUUUGAUUGGUAAUGGUAAGUGUUUUACGAACAUGAUUAUUUUCUGCCUUUCCUAAGUCUUAAUGACUAAAUCUUCCUUUCCUAUUCAAUUUGUUGUUUAAGAGAGCGGACUUACAUUGGAACAGGAGAUUAGAGGAUUUGGAACAGUUGACAAAUUUACAAGAUGAGCUCCUUGAUGCAGCUUCAUUGAGUUCACUAUAGAUCUUGCUGAUAGGUACGUCCCACCUGAUCUUGUUACGGACAAAGGGUUCUUCUUCUCCAGCCCAGUCAAACAUCAUCUUGAUGGAUCAUUUGCGGCCCGCCUGGUCCAAUCUGUAGACCACAAGAUGAACCCUAGAUAGCAAGCAAAACGUGAACCUCUCCUCUUUAAUCAAGACAAGGUAGGGCCAUGAUGGGAUACAAUUAUCCAACAAGAAACUUAUCUCUUGUAACUAAUGUUGUCAAAAUCGUUAUCAUAUUGCAAAUCGUAAUUGGGGUUGAA
Molecule: long non-coding RNA, 971 nt
Organism: Magnolia sinica
Lineage: Eukaryota; Viridiplantae; Streptophyta; Magnoliopsida; Magnoliales; Magnoliaceae
Exons: 5
Source: RefSeq, a predicted model, not a curated record